GUGAAUCAUCGAAUUUUUGAACGCAAAUUGCACUCUCUGGUAUUCCGGGGGUUAGGCCUGUUUGAGGUUCGGUUUAAAUUAAAAAUCGAGGUUUUGCUUUUUUUUGUACCGCAUCGGAAUUGGGUUUUCCUUGUCCUUUGGAUUUUUUAAGUGCCCUAAAUUUGAUACUUUUUCCUUCUCAAACUU
This 186-nucleotide unclassified non-coding RNA is filed under the name Glomeromycota sp. RNAcentral's name for it is "partial contains 5.8S ribosomal RNA and internal transcribed spacer 2". The stretch from base 1 to 71 matches the Rfam family "5.8S ribosomal RNA", at positions 84 to 154 of the family's 154-position model. Lineage: Eukaryota; Fungi; Glomeromycota. The record is from RNAcentral.